AGAGUUUGAUCAUGGCUCAGAACGUACGCUGGCGGCACGCCUAAUACAUGCAAGUCGAACGAAGUAGCAAUACUUAGUGGCAGACGGGUGAGUAACAUGUGGGUAUCUUCCCUUUGGUGAGGAAUAACACGAGGAAACUUGUGCUAAUACCUCAUAAGUCUUUACGGAGAAAGCUUUAUGCGCCAAUGGAUGAGCCCGCACUUGAUUAGUUUGUUGGUGAGGUAAUGGCUCACCAAGACUUUGAUCAAUAGCUGAUUUGAGAGGAUGAUCAGCCACAUUGGGACUGAGACACGGCCCAAACUCCUACGGGAGGCAGCAGUAGGGAAUCUUGCACAAUGGGGGAAACCCUGAUGCAGCGAUGCCGCGUGAGUGAAGAAGGCCUUUGGGUUGUAAAGCUCUUUCGUCGGGGAAGAAAAUGACUGUACCCGAAUAAGAAGGUCCGGCUAACUUCGUGCCAGCAGCCGCGGUAAUACGAAGGGACCUAGCGUAGUUCGGAAUUACUGGGCUUAAAGAGUUCGUAGGUUGUUAAAAAAGUUGGUGGUGAAAUCCCAGAGCUUAACUCUGGAACUGCCAUCAAAACUUUUUAGCUAGAGUUUGAUAGAGGAAAGCAGAAUUUCUAGUGUAGAGGUGAAAUUCGUAGAUAUUAGAAAGAAUACCAAUUGCGAAGGCAGCUUUCUGGAUCAUUACUGACACUGAGGAACGAAAGCAUGGGUAGCGAAGAGGAUUAGAUACCCUCGUAGUCCAUGCCGUAAACGAUGUGUGUUAGACGUUGGAAAUUUAUUUUCAGUGUCACAGCGAAAGCAAUAAACACACCGCCUGGGGAGUACGACCGCAAGGUUAAAACUCAAAUGAAUUGACGGGGACCCGCACAAGUAGUGGAGCAUGUGGUUUAAUUCGAAGAUACGCGCAGAACCUUACCAACACUUGACAUGUUCGUCGCGACUUUAAGAGAUUAAAGUUUUCGGUUCGGCCGGACGAAACACAGGUGCUGCAUGGCUGUCGUCAGCUCGUGUCGUGAGAUGUUGGGUUAAGUCCCGCAACGAGCGCAACCCUCACUUUUAGUUGCCAUCAUUUAGUUGGGCACUCUGAAAGAACUGCCAGUGAUAAGCUGGAGGAAGGUGGGGAUGACGUCAAGUCCUCAUGGCCCUUACGUGUUGGGCUACACACGUGCUACAAUGGCAUUUACAACAGGAAGCAAAACGGCGACGUUAAGCAAAUCCUAAAAAAAUGCCUCAGUUCGGAUUGUACUCUGCAACUCGAGUACAUGAAGCUGGAAUUACUAGUAAUCGCGGAUCAGCGCGCCGCGGUGAAUACGUUCCCGGGUCUUGUACACACCGCCCGUCACACCAUGGGAGUUGGUUCUACCUUAAGGCAAAGGUUAAAAACUUUGACCACGGUAUAGUCAGCGACUGGGGUGAAGUCGUAACAAGGUAGCCGUA
This 1439-nucleotide ribosomal RNA is filed under the name uncultured bacterium. RNAcentral describes it as "bacterial SSU rRNA". It matches the Rfam family "Bacterial small subunit ribosomal RNA". The record is from RNAcentral.